Myodes glareolus (Bank vole) is the source of this 3289-nucleotide non-coding RNA. The record is from RefSeq and is a predicted model, not a curated record. NCBI's taxonomy places the organism in Eukaryota, Metazoa, Chordata, Mammalia, Rodentia, Cricetidae.
CUCUCCAGCCCCUUCUUCUUUUUUUUUUUUUAAAGCAGUUUUAUCUUUGUAUACAACCUACAGGGUGAAAUGUAUUUCUGAAUUGGUAAAUCAUGUCAUGUACAUUUUUUAAAAAUCUGAAGAUAGAUUGUCAUACCUUUCUAUGAAUAGCUUGCUUUAAUUUGGAGUAUUAAUAUGGUUUUCUCAUCCCAGCAUUUGGGAGGCUGAAGAAGGAAGAUCCAGAGUUUGAGGUCAAAUGGAGAAAUUGUAAGACUUUGUCAUAAAAAAGAAAAGAAACUAAUAGUCCUGUGUGUGUGAGAGAGAGGGGGGUGAGAGAGUGUAUGUUGUGAGGGUGUGUGUGUGUAUGUGUGUGAGCGUGUGGUUGUAUGUGGGUAUAUGUACUUGCAGCAAGCACUUAGCGAUCAGAGGUCUGUAUCAACUAUCUUUCCCUAUCACUCUGUGCUUUGUGAAUUUUUGUGGUGGCUGUUAUGUUUCAUUCUGUUUGUUUUAUGACAGUCUCUCACAGAAUCUGAAGCUCGCAGAUUUGGCAAGACCAGCUGGCCAGGAAACUUCAGGGAUUCCCCAGUCUUGGCCUCUCCAGCACUAGGAAUCCAGGUGCACACCACAAUGCCUGGCUUUUUGUGUGGGUACCACGGAUCUGAGCUGAAGUCCUUAUGUUUGUAUGACACGCGCUUAACCACUGAACCAUCUUCAUAGCCCCUGAUUUAGCAUGUGAGCUUGCAUAUUCUCCUUGGUUUUCUUAGUUCUUGCCCAUUGUUUCCUGGACUUCUGUGUGCUUCUUUAUCUUCUUCUCUCGGAGGGUACAUCCCCUGCCCACGCUUUCUCUACAAUCUACUGUUCCCAAAUGUUCACCUUCUUACCUAGGCCACCUCAUACAUGAAUCCAGUCUGUUCUGUGGAUAGGGAGGUAAGCAUUGCCUGGCAUGGCUGUUCUCUUCAGAACCAGCUUGUGCCAGUUCUCACACGGAGCCUUUUCUAGGAUCUUCCCAGACAUUUCUCUCUUUUCAGGCUCGUUCUGGUAGACAUUCACGUAUGUUUAGGAUAUAGGGUGUUAAAUUAACAGUUGCAGAGGAGCACGCAACCCUCGAACAUUUCAGUGGUGAAAACCAAACAGGAACAAAACCCUGCAUUUAUUUACUAUACCUGAGAUUCCUUACAGUAAAGGCCUGGCCUGUGGUCCUUCACUGAGGCUACAGAAUCCAAUUCUAAGUUGAUUUAUUCUUGUGGCUGUUUGUGAGGUCUGCGCUUGGAAGACCUCAGGGCUGCCAGACUAUCUUUUCGAUGUGGUAACCUGCUAUGAUCCCUGAAAAGCAAGAUGGCUGAUGUUUUGCUCUCUAUCAUCCAGCUUCAGAAUUUCCACACCAUUAUCUCUGCCAUUUUCUGUUGGUUACUAACCUCAUCUCUUGUUUCCAGUGGAAGAGGACUCCAGAAGAUCUCAGGAGACAGUAUGCUUUGGAUACCAUCCACUGCUAUGGUCUAAAUCACUCUGAUUUAUCCAAAACUCAAGUCCCUAACAAUCAGGCCAUCCUGUUGAGAACCCUCCUCUCAUUGUUGAGCUGACUUCUUGCUCCCAAGCACCCCUUGGUCAUACCUCCACUGUGUUUGCAAACAUUACACAGAAGCGGUUGACUUAUCAUUCUCUCUUCUUGAGCUGCCUUGAGGAAUACGAGAAUAAAUUAUUGUGGUAGUUUGAAUGUAGUUGGCCCCUCUAAUCUCACAGGGAGUGGCACUGGUAGGAAGUGUGGCUUUGUUGGAGUAGGUAUGGUUUGUUGCAGAAAGUGUGUCGCUGUGGAGGAGGAUUUUGAGGCCUUUGCUUCAGCUUUGCUUAGUGUCGCAGUCUCCUUCCUCUUGCCUACAAGAUGUAGGACUCUCAGCUACUUCUCCAGCACCAUGUCUGCCUGCCUGCUGCCACGUUCCCUGUCGUGAUGACAAUGGGCUGAACCUCUGAACUGCUCUUGCUGUGAAGCUCAGCAUGAUCUCGAACUCACAAAACAUCUGUGCCACCCUUCUGAGAGCCGGGAUGACAGCUCUGCACCCCCACACUUGCUAGCAGAUCUAAUGGAUGCUCUCAGCGACUGCUCAUGCCUGCCUGCCUGUUUGUUGCCGUGCCCUCCACCAUGAUGAUCAGGAACUCACCCUCUGAAACAUUCAGCUCUCUUCUGCAUCAGUACCAGAAGGCUCACUAGUCAUCAAAACGAGCAAUAGGACACUCUAUCCUCCUGCUGCACACUGAGCCACCCUGGGAUGUGAUGUCCUUUCUGCAGUCCCGGAAGAGGAGGUUAUGAGCUGCAGCAUCCGACGCGGCACCUCGUGAGCCUGCUCAUCCUGCCUAGUUGCGGAAUCUCACCAUAAGCCCGGUUCCAUUGUCUAAAAGUCGAAAGCUUCAAGCCUCGACUAUACACUCAUUUCAAAUCUCCACUUACAGAGGCAGAUCUAAGAAGCUGGAACAUGGAGACUGAAAUCGCCAGAUUCACACCUUAGUUAUUUGACGCAGUCAGUUGCAAGUUUAGGAAAGAAAAGAAGCACACAAAAACCUACAAGAAAAAGAAAAAACAACUCAAAACCGUGGCUUCGUUUUCUAUGAAAUCUUCACAUGGAAUGAAAAAGUAGAUGUGAACUUGUCUGUAAGAACUGAACACAGUGUUCGCCAGCUUUCUGCUUAUGGAACUGUUUGAAUAAAACACCCAUCACUGGUGAUGAUGGACUUGGAGCUAAGGAACCAUCACUAGGUUAAGUUAAGGAUCUCUAAAUUAGUUAUGUCUGCUUGAAAACUUCGAAUGAAACCACACAAAGGCAAUCAGUGUCCCGCACGCUGACUUGGUGAGGAUUCAGGAGUGUGUGCAGAAACGAGGGAAGGAUACAAGGGACAUGGCCUGUCUGCUCCAGGAACAUUUACUGAUGCCAUGACUAAUGCUAUGUCUUAGCUAGCCUUCUGUCAAUGUCCCCCAAGAAGUAGUCUCUGAUACCAGUGGGAGAAUGUCUUUGCCAUGGUAGAGUGAGGGCAAACAAGCAAAGAGCAAAAGCUUCCUGCUUCCAUGUCCUGCUACCAGAAGUGUGGCCUACAUUAAAAGAAUUUAGAGAUAUUCCUAAAUAUAAAAAUUCUAUGCAAGCCAAGUUCUUUGGCUGAGUUGGUGGUUACUUACCAGACUGUAAUUCAAACCAAUGUUCUUCUCAUAGCCACAGAUCUCAGAACAUUUAAAUGGUUCACCUGACAUAUUCAGUUUUGGGAGAAAUAAUUUUUAAAAAUUUUCUGUUUGUUUUUUUUUCACUUUAUGUGUUUGGUACUUUUU